This 1112-nucleotide ribosomal RNA is filed under the name Thalassiosira antarctica. RNAcentral describes it as "partial Bacterial large subunit ribosomal RNA". It matches the Rfam family "Bacterial large subunit ribosomal RNA", at positions 1 to 1154 of the family's 2925-position model. The record is from RNAcentral. Lineage: Eukaryota; Bacillariophyta; Thalassiosirophyceae; Thalassiosirales; Thalassiosiraceae.
GUCAAGUGACUAAGCGCACACGGUGGAUGCCUUGGCAGUCAGAGGCGAUGAAGGACGUUGGAGCUUGCGAAAAGUCUCGGGGAGGUAGCAACCAACCUUUGAUCCGGGAAUGUCCGAAUGGGGAAACCCACCUAACGUAAGUUAGGUAUCUUUAACUGAAUACAUAGGUUAAAGAGGCGAACGCGGGGAACUGAAACAUCUAAGUACCCGUAGGAAAAGAAAUCAAUUGAGAUUCCCCCAGUAGCGGCGAGCGACCGGGGAAGAGCCUGCAUGUAAUAGCUUAUGGAUUAGUGGAACGGUCUGGAAAGUCCGGCGAUAGAGGGUGAUAGCCCCGUACACGAAAAUCUGAAAGUGGUACUGAGCAUGCGAUAAGUAGGUCGGGACACGUGAUAUCUUGACUGAAGACGGGGGGACCAUCCUCCAAGGCUAAAUACUCCUAGUUGACCGAUAGUGAACCAGUACCGUGAGGGAAAGGCGAAAAGAACCCCGGAGAGGGGAGUGAAAUAGAUCCUGAAACCGUAUGCAUACAAACAGUGGGAGCGGACUUGUUCUGUGACUGCGUACCUUUUGUAUAAUGGGUCAGCGACUUAUUGUCAGUAGCAAGGUUAACCGUUUAGGGGAGCCGUAGGGAAACCGAGUCUGAAUAGGGCGAUUUAGUCGCUGGGCAUAGACCCGAAACCGGGCGAUCUAUCCAUGAGCAGGUUGAAGGUUGAGUAACAUCAACUGGAGGACCGAACCCACUGUCGUUGAAAAGCCAGGGGAUGACUUGUGGAUCGGAGUGAAAGGCUAAUCAAGCCCGGAGAUAGCUGGUUCUCCUCGAAAUCUAUUUAGGUAGAGCGUCGUGUCUUACCCUGGGGGGUAGAGCACUGUUUGGGCUAGGGGGUCAUCCCGACUUACCAACCCCAUGCAAACUCCGAAUACCCAGGAGUACAAUCACGGCAGACAGACAGCGGGUGCUAACGUCCGUUGUCGAGAGGGCAACAACCCAGACCGCCAGCUAAGGUCCCCAAUACCAAUUAAGUGGGAAACGAUGUGGGAAGGCUCAGACAGCUAGGAGGUUGGCUUAGAAGCAGCCACCCUUUAAAGAAAGCGUAAUAGCUCACUAGUCGAGU